GACAGCGCCGCGUUGUAGGGCUCCACCACAGUGUCCGACACUUUGGGCGAGGGCAUGACGCUGAAGGAGUUGAGGAUGCGGUCCGGGUACUCCUCGCGGAUCUUGUUCAUG
Molecule: microRNA precursor, 111 nt
Organism: Ochotona princeps (American pika)
Lineage: Eukaryota; Metazoa; Chordata; Mammalia; Lagomorpha; Ochotonidae
Source: Ensembl